This 1037-nucleotide long non-coding RNA is filed under the name Panicum hallii. Its description in RNAcentral is "long non-coding RNA (PHAL_LNC000244)". The record is from RNAcentral. Lineage: Eukaryota; Viridiplantae; Streptophyta; Magnoliopsida; Poales; Poaceae.
CACAAUACACUGAAAGAAAAAAAAAGAGCAGCUGCGGCGGACGGCGGCGACGGCCGGCGGCCGGGAAGAAGAUGCCGCGCGAAGGCCUCGCUCGAGGCCUCGAGGUGGAGGCUGCGCUCGCGACGGAGGUAGCAUGGGAACUGAAGGAGGCUGUUGCAUCCAUGGCUGCUGGGUCCUUGGAUAUGGAUGUAGACUCACCACCGCAUCUCCCCAUAGAGACCUCUGCUAACAAGAUUUCCCUUCUAUCCUUCCUGUGCCAUUGGUUCCAUUACUCUUUUCAUAUCUAUUCAUUUUUUCCUGGAUUGUAUUCAGCCAUGAAUCCUAGCUCAGAUCGAGAUUAGGUUUAGUUUGCAAAGAAAGGGAUGGGUGCAAGAUUCAAUCCAUAGUAAUCCCUACCAUGUUCUCAGUUCUUGUUUGGAAUUUGGAUGUGGAAUUCGAGAACUGUAUCUUUGCUUUAUCCUUCAAAAGAGGGACAUAUUUUUGUCUUUUUUGCUUCAAUUAUGUUUAAAAUAAACUUAUGUAACUUGUCUUUUUUGUUUCAGAUUUCACUGAGUUUGAAGGAUAGCAAUUUCUGACAAGGCGUAUAUUUUGUUUCUGACAAGGUAAGGUGAUUGACUCUAUAGGGUCCAAAUCUGAAACAUAGGAUCUAUGGGUACACAAGGCAGCUACAUUAGAGAUUAUUUGUUAUGCUGCAUAUUUCGUUAUUAUACUGUAGACAUUCGUUGAUCCUGACUAUGCUGCAUAUUUUGUUGUUAUGCUAUAUAGAGAUUCAUUGAUCAUGACUAUUCUUUUAUUUGUCGUAGGCUGCAGAUUUCUUUGUUAUACACUACGGGUAUGCAAGUAUGAGAGUAUUCUUGGUGCAGUACAUCAACUUUAUGUGAAUGCAUUCGGGAAUUUUCUUAUAGUUUAGUUAACUUAAGCUAUUGUUAGAUUUAAUUAAGAAAUCUUUUGUAUGGAACAUGAUCAGUUCCCUAGGCAUGCUAUUCUCUUUCCGUGAGGGUGUUUCUUAUGUUGACUUAUUGCAAUUUCGGAUUAAA